GACUCCUUAAUAUAGUGGUUCAGUAUAUUCGCUUGUGGCGCGAAAGACGCGUGUUCGAUUCACGCAGGGGUCA
RNAcentral lists this transfer RNA (73 nucleotides) under Microbotryum saponariae. It matches the Rfam family "tRNA". From Rfam's summary of the family: Transfer RNA (tRNA) molecules are approximately 80 nucleotides in length. Their secondary structure includes four short double-helical elements and three loops (D, anti-codon, and T loops). Further hydrogen bonds mediate the characteristic L-shaped molecular structure. tRNAs have two regions of fundamental functional importance: the anti-codon, which is responsible for specific mRNA codon recognition, and the 3' end, to which the tRNAs corresponding amino acid is attached (by aminoacyl-tRNA synthetases). tRNAs cope with the degeneracy of the genetic code in two manners: having more than one tRNA (with a specific anti-codon) for a particular amino acid; and 'wobble' base-pairing, i.e. permitting non-standard base-pairing at the 3rd anti-codon position. Lineage: Eukaryota; Fungi; Basidiomycota; Microbotryomycetes; Microbotryales; Microbotryaceae. RNAcentral also lists the same sequence under 2 other names. The record is from Rfam by way of RNAcentral.